AAUAAGUACAGCCAUGAGUUUCCGCACUUAACUUUGAUCGUUCGUCUUAUUUGAAAUUUUUUUAUAAUUAGCAUUUUUAUUGUUAUGAGAUGAUAAAACAUGAAUAGUACUUUACUCGUGACUUAUGUUUUUGAUUUUUUUUUUAAAAAAAAUUCAAAUAAGACGAACAGUCAAAGUUAGACGCAGAAAACCAUGAUUGCACUUAUU
Molecule: microRNA precursor, 207 nt
Organism: Oryza sativa Indica Group (long-grained rice)
Lineage: Eukaryota; Viridiplantae; Streptophyta; Magnoliopsida; Poales; Poaceae
Rfam family: MIR812 microRNA precursor family
Source: Rfam